AGAGUUUGAUCCUGGCUCAGGNNGNANGNNGGNGGCGUGCUAACACAUGCAAGUCGAACGNNNAGAAAUGAGAAGCUUGNUUCUUAUCUCUUCGAGUGGCAAACGGGUGANUAACGCGUAAGCAACCUGCCCUCUAGAUGGGGACAACAGCUGGAAACGGCUGCUAUUACCGAAUCGUUUUUUCUGUCACAUGGCAGAAGGAAAAAAGGGAGGCUCUUCGGAGCUUUCGCUGGAGGAGGGGCUUGCGUCUGAUUAUCUAGUCGGAGGGGUAACCGCCCACCAAUNCGACGAUCAGUAGCCNGUCUGA
Molecule: ribosomal RNA, 307 nt
Filed under: uncultured bacterium
Lineage: Bacteria
Description: partial 16S ribosomal RNA
Rfam family: Bacterial small subunit ribosomal RNA
Source: RNAcentral